CUGCACCAAUGUUUUCUGGUCCCUGCCAAUAUUGAAACGGAGAUGAAAAUGAUGGGUGUCUUGGAAACAAAAAAUGUGGCUUGCCUUUUGUCAUCAGUAAUCACAUGUGUGUAUUAUAGUCAAAGGGCGGCGACCUUGGAGUUGAGAACUGUGCGGACCACAACAUAUAUGCACAUGACCAGUGCGGCACGGUGUCGAUCAAUUCGUUGGCCGACUACACUGCAUUGGGAUCGCAGUCUUAUCGCUUGUUUUUCAGGUGCAAUACGCACCUGUACAUAGGCGUCGAGUACUCCUUGCACAUCAAACGCUUAGAAGUGGCGCAGUCGGAGCAGUAUUCAUUUGUAAAAUAGCAAAUUAUUAACAAAAAUGUGCUUAACAUUUUAGUUUCUUUUUAUUUAUAUAUAUCUGUGUGGAGGUUUUUCA
Molecule: long non-coding RNA, 423 nt
Organism: Zophobas morio
Lineage: Eukaryota; Metazoa; Arthropoda; Insecta; Coleoptera; Tenebrionidae
Exons: 2
Source: RefSeq, a predicted model, not a curated record